This 505-nucleotide long non-coding RNA is filed under the name Glycine max (soybean). Its description in RNAcentral is "long non-coding RNA (GMAX_LNC003514)". Lineage: Eukaryota; Viridiplantae; Streptophyta; Magnoliopsida; Fabales; Fabaceae. The record is from RNAcentral.
CAAUUUGAAAGUACAUUUAAUAUAGUUGAAAUAACUGAAUUUUUGGUUGAUAAAAUAUUGACUGGUUAAUGGUAAGUAAAGUUUGGGGAGGACUAUGCUUUUGUGAUUUUCUGUAACAAUUUUUGACCCACCUCAUGUUGUGUGUAGAAUUGGAAAAGUUGGGCAAGGAACUUAGGUUGAUCAAAGGAUACCCCUAUAAGGAGCAAGGGGGUUCAACAUCCACAUGGGACAGGGUGUCAACAACUUUAUUGACUACGUUUUUUUGCCAGAGUUUGAAUGGUAGAUUCAAAAGUGCUUCCCAAGUAAGUAAUGAUGCCAUUUUUGAACUGUGGAUGUGAUGGCAAACAUAUAUCUCUCAUAUGCGGAUGCCACUUGCAUUUGGGAUGACAAUUUGUGACUGAAGAAGGCGAUGGACUGAUCUUUUUUUGAUACAACAACCCCUACGACCAUACUUGAAGCAUCCAUCUUAACAUCAAAGGGCAAAGUGAAGUCAAGAAGGCCCAAC